RNAcentral lists this ribosomal RNA (417 nucleotides) under uncultured Chloroflexota bacterium. RNAcentral's name for it is "bacterial SSU rRNA". It matches the Rfam family "Bacterial small subunit ribosomal RNA", at positions 952 to 1382 of the family's 1533-position model. The record is from RNAcentral. Lineage: Bacteria; Bacillati; Chloroflexota.
CGAUGCAACGCGAAGAACCUUACCAAGGCUUGACAUGCCAGAAGUAGGAACUCGAAAGAGAGACCACCUGUAUCCAGUCAGGAACUGGCACAGGUGCUGCAUGGCUGUCGUCAGCUCGUGCCGUGAGGUGUUAGGUUAAGUCCUGCAACGAGCGCAACCCUCGUCGCUAGUAAAUUUUCUAGCGAUACUGCCCGUAAAACGAGGAGGAAGGUGGGAUGACGUCAAGUCAGCAUGGCCCUUACGCCUUGGGCUACACACACGCUACAAUGGGUGAUACAACGGGUUGCGAAAGAGCGAUCUGGAGCUAAUCCCUAAAAUCAUCCUCAGUUCGGAUUGCAGGCUGAAACUGCCUGCAUGAAGUUGGAGUUGCUAGUAACCGCAGGUCAGCACACUGCGGUGAAUACGUUCUCGGGCCUU